Molecule: ribosomal RNA, 433 nt
Filed under: uncultured bacterium
Lineage: Bacteria
Description: bacterial SSU rRNA
Rfam family: Bacterial small subunit ribosomal RNA
Source: RNAcentral
AACGAACGCUGGCGGCAUGCCUAACACAUGCAAGUCGAACGAAGCCUUCGGGCUUAGUGGCGCACGGGUGCGUAACACGUGGGAAUCUGCCCUUCGGUUCGGAAUAACAGUUAGAAAUGACUGCUAAUACCGGAUGAUGACGUAAGUCCAAAGAUUUAUCGCCGAAGGAUGAGCCCGCGUAGGAUUAGGUAGUUGGUAGGGUAAUGGCCUACCAAGCCGACGAUCCUUAGCUGGUCUGAGAGGAUGAUCAGCCACACUGGGACUGAGACACGGCCCAGACUCCUACGGGAGGCAGCAGUGGGGAAUAUUGGACAAUGGGCGAAAGCCUGAUCCAGCAAUGCCGCGUGAGUGAUGAAGGCCUUAGGGUUGUAAAGCCCUUUUACCAGGGAUGAUAAUGACAGUACCUGGAGAAUAAGCUCCGGCUAACUCCGUG